This 441-nucleotide ribosomal RNA is filed under the name uncultured bacterium. RNAcentral describes it as "partial 16S ribosomal RNA". It matches the Rfam family "Bacterial small subunit ribosomal RNA", at positions 338 to 795 of the family's 1533-position model. The record is from RNAcentral.
CCUACGGGAGGCAGCAGUGGGGAAUAUUGCACAAUGUGGGGAACCCUGAUGCAGCGACGCCGCGUGAGUGAAGAAGUAUUUCGGUAUGUAAAGCUCUAUCAGCAGGGAAGAAAAUGACGGUACCUGACUAAGAAUCCCCGGCUAACUACGUGCCAGCAGCCGCGGUAAUACGUAGGGGGCAAGCGUUAUCCGGUUUUAUUGGGUUUAAAGGGUGCGUAGGCUGUGAAGUAAGUCAGCGGUGAAAUGCCCCCGCUCAACGGGGUGAAGUGCCAUUGAUACUGCCUAGCUGGAGUGCGGAUGACGUGGGAGGAAUGUGUGGUGUAGCAGUGAAAUGCAUAGAUAUCACACAGAACACCGAUUGCGAAGGCGUCUCACGAAUCCGCGAUUGACGCUGAUGCACGAAAGCGUGGGUAUCAAACAGGAUUAGAUACCCGAGUAGUC